RNAcentral lists this unclassified non-coding RNA (6970 nucleotides) under Monomorium pharaonis (pharaoh ant). RNAcentral describes it as "uncharacterized LOC105835630, transcript variant X2". The record is from RNAcentral. Lineage: Eukaryota; Metazoa; Arthropoda; Insecta; Hymenoptera; Formicidae.
UUGGUUAAUAUUAAAAAUAAAUCCAUUUUUUUAUUUUCUUAAUUGACGACGUCACUAGUCAUUAUCUUUCCUUGCUUUAAGUACAUUUGUAAAUAUCAAGGUUAAUUAACAAUUUUUUUAAUCCAUUUAGUAGAUUAAAAUUGCAUAAACGCACCUACGCACGCCUUACGUAAGCACCCAAUUUAAUGUGGUAAAGUUACAGAGGUAAUAGUAGUUUUCUGUUCUGCGUAAAGUGUCAGGAAGGAUUUACUAGUCGUGUGCUUGUCAGAGUAUUUCGUUUUUAGAAAGCUUUACUAUUUCCGUUUAGAAUAUUCAGCUUCGUGAACUUGAACAUAAUCAAUAGUCAUACUCACUUGUGAAACGCGUCGAUUAACAACAGGAGUCGAAGAUGGAGGAAAUCCACAUCCAAAUAGAAGACAGUUCGCCUUCAAUAGAGCACACCUUACGUCCAAUAACGUACACUUCCUGGCUCAUGGGAGUCGGCGUUGCACAUCCGCGCAAAUGCCACAAGAGUGUCACGAUAAUUCUACGUAUAGUUUAUUUAGUUUUGUGUUGUAUUAUUAUGAAAUCCGACAUGACAAAUUUCUUCACCUUUGGCAGCGCGGUCGCUAUUAAAGGCGACAUAUUCGAGUUGAUGUGCUUAAUAAACCUGAUGAUAAUUUACGUAUCUACGUAUUACUACAUUUAUCAAGGGAUCAGGCAAUACGGCAAGUGGCCGGAGCUAAUGGACAGAAUAAAGGAGCUUGAUGAGAAGAUCAGAAUGGAAACAUUUAUGAAUGACCGGCCAGUAAAAAAUGUGGAAGCGCUAGCGAUUCUGACGACAUUCGCUUGGUGUACUUUAACCCUAAUUGUGCACGUCUUGUAUUAUUACUUUACAAAUCCCAAUUUAAUCUUCGAAACUGACUUAAUGUAUUACUUCAUGUCCACCCAAUCCCUGAUCAACAGUUUUGUCUUCGACAUUCUUGUCUAUGUGGUGUAUUACAGAUUCCAAACGAUAAAUAAAUUGAUUGGCCAAUUGAAUGAGCUAUCGAAUACGCCGUGGGUCGCGUAUAAGAUCAGACGCAUCCGAGAAAUGCAUAAUGGUAUCUGUGACCUCGUCAUCAUGAUAAGCGAUAUUCACGGGUUUUAUCUCCUUUUCUGUUCGGUGAACUGCCUCACCAUGGUCAUAUCUACACUAAUCAACAUCUACAUAGCAAUCGUGGAGAAAAACAGCACGUUUAUAUUGUCAACUAAUGGUUUUACGAUUCUGUACACCACGCAAUUUGGCCUGAUGUGCUGGAUUUGCACGCUCGCGCGUCGAGAAUUCGAGAAGACCGGGAUAAUUAUAUACGCAAUAUUACUGCAUUCCAAACCUGGGCAUCUUGAUAAACUAAACGGGACGAGGAAUCAAUCGAAUCUAGAUGUGCGAACGCCACUGGAAGGUCCGGAUAGCGAGCAAAAUUCUAAUUGGAGUAGCGGUAACAGUUUGAACAACGUCAUCAUAGAACAUCUCUUACGUAAAAACUUGGUCCGUGAUUGUGUCAGAAACGAGAUCAACGAUUUUUUGAUUCAAUUGCAACAUCGUCGAGUAGUAUUUACGGUCUGUGAUUACUUCGAAAUGGGUAAUGCUUUAUUCUGUGGCUUUAUUGGAGUGAUUUUUGCUUAUUUAGUAAUCUUCAUUCAAUUCUAUCAACGACCCGGAAACAAAAACGAACGUUUAUGGAAUAUAGCUAACGACACGCAUUCUGAUGUGUCAGAAUUGUAAUUGUAAUAUAGUGUGUUAUUCUUUACUCUUACGUGAAACAUCAAGGAGAAUUCACGAUGCACAUUUGUCAGAGUGUUUUGCUUUUAGAAGAAACUUAUAUUUUUUUACAAAAUAGUCUGCAUCGGAUACAAAAUAUUUUGUACGGGAAACUUUAAUAUAACAGCAGCCAUAUUUGCUUGCAAAAUGAGUCACUUAAGAAGAAAAUAAGAAGUAAAAUUAAGAACAAUGUUUGCCAAGAAAAUAAUUUGCCAUAGAAAGGGUAUACUUUACGUCCAGUAUCACAACUAUAAGAAAGAUUUUAGGAUAUAAUGCUAUUAUUCUUCAAUCUAUCAUAAAUAGAAUCGAUAUAACACCAAUCAUAUUAAUUAUCAAAGAAGAAAUAUUUUAUUCUUAAUUGGAAAUCUCUGAAAUGUAGAAUAAAUUAAUGAUUUUAAUGAUAUCUUACUAAUUUUUUAAGAAUAAUUUAGUACAUCUGUGACAAUCUUAUGAUAUUCUAGAUUUAGAUUUUAGAAUAGACCGAUUUGAAGAAUAGAUCUAAAAAUCUGAUCUUAAUAUUUCUGGAAGGGUUAAGUUCAUUACACCAAUACUGACACUAACACGUUAACGUAUAACGUAUAAUUUUCUUGUUCCUGCAUGUUAUUUCUGUAUAAAAGUAAUAGAACAAUGGUAUGGCUCAUCGGCUUUAAUAAUAAAAAGAGCGACGUCUUCGUUCUGUUAUAACUGCUCACGUUGUUGUUAUCAACAAAAGACGAUAGCAUAUAUGUUCGCAUUAAAUAUUAUGGUGCUAACAUCGUGCGUUAUAAAAUCGAGCAAAGACUUAUUCUAAACGUAAAAAUAUAUAAGUUUAAAAUUAUAUAUAUGUUACUCUUGUCUGAAAAUAAUAAAUUUUACUUAAUUCAAAAAAGAAGAAUAGGAAUUAGUGAUGUAAUCUUAAUAUUGUUUUAUGUUUAUACUGCAUGAGAUUACAAUAAAAUUAAAUAUAUCAAAAGUAUUUUUUGUCUUAAUAUCAGAAAUCCUUUUUAAGAGGACAUAUACAUCUUGAUUUAUGGACAUAAGCGUUAUACAUUUUCAAAAAUUUUUAAAAGCUAUGAUGAUAAUCAUAUGUAGUGUUCAUUCAUGCAUAUUGUUAGCGCGAUGUACAUGAUUUCUUUACAUUUGAUAUCACUUAUCGAUAUCACUAUUCGAUAUCACUGACAGUGAUAUAUUAUGAACGUUUUUGACAGCGAUAUAUUUAAGUUAAUAUAUACUGUAUGAACAGCGUGAUGUGUUGCAUGUCGGCGUAUUACUACGUUUCACAUAUGAUUACGAGAUCAGGCAGUACGACAAGUGGUCAGAGCUGAUGGACAGAAUAAAAAAGAUUGAUUAGAAGAUUAGGAGAGAAACACCCAUGAGUGACCAGCCAAUAAAAGAUAUGGAAAUGUUGAAGAUUUUGGCAACAUUUACUUGAUGUUCUUUAUUUCUGAUCGUUCAUGCCUUGUAUUAUUAUUUCAUAAAUCCGCUAUAUAUUUCUCUAUCCGACUUGCUUUAUUACAUAUUAACGUAGUUGUUGAUCAAUAAUUUUUGUCUUUAAUAUUACCGUCUAUUUAUUGUAUUACAGAUUUCAUAAAGGAACUAAUCGGCCAGUUGAAUGAGUUAUCUCGUGCCUUGAUCUCAAGAUUAGACGCAUCAGGAUUGGACAAUGGGAAGUGGUUUUUUGUGAACAUUAUCUUUUGUAUUAUUAUAAUUGAAGUGUAUAUGUAUGGCCCAAAAUGUAGUUUAAUACAAAUUAUAAAAAGAUAAUAAUAUCAAAUCGAAAUGUCAAAUCGUAAACUGUAUACAGGUAUUUGUGAACUUGUCAUGGUAAACAAUAUUCAUGAUUUUUAUUUCUUUUUUUACUCGGUAAAAUGUUUUAGCGUAAUUGUAGCAACUAUUAGAAUUGUUUAUUUAUUUAAAAUCGACAUGCGCGUCAUAAAGAAGAAUUUUGUGUUUAUACAAUUACGUAGUAUGCUUCGUAUUUUAUAUGUCACGUAAUUUAAUUUAAAAUCUUAUAUCAUUGAUGAUUAUCUCUUUUUGUAAUCUUCUUUGCAAUAUUAUUAUAUCCUGCUUACACUUGUACGUCCCAAGCUUAAUUAACUAUUUUACUAAAUGUAUUUAAUUUAUUAAAACCGUUUGUAUGAAGAGCAACUGGCAUACCCUCUAAUGUUGCUAAAGUAAUACGUCGUUUUUUAUUCAGCGUAAAGCACCAGAGAGAUACAACGCGCUUGCUUGUCAGAAUAUUUUGCUUUUUAUCUGCUAUUUUCUGUAAAAUAAUUGCGAGAAACUUUAAAAUAAUUAACAACCAUACUUGUUUGCAAAACACGUUCGAUUAGUGUAAAAUACGAGGAAAAAUGGAGGAACAGGUGCAUGUGAAAGUGGAAGACAACUCAUCUUCGAUAGAGCACAUCUUAUGUCCAAUAACGUAUAUCUCGUGGUUCCUGGGAGUCGGUAUUGCACAUCCGGGCAAAUGCCGCAAGAGUGUUACAAUAGUCUUACGUAUAAUUCAUGUGGCUUUGUGGUUUAUUAAUAUGAGAUUCGAUUUAAUGAACGUUUACUUUAUUUUCAUACUUACUACUGAAACCGACAUAUUCUACCUCACGUUCAUUAUACAAUUAGUGAUAAUCCACGUAUCUACGUUUUACUACAUUUAUCAAGGGAUCAAGCAAUACGACAAAUGGUCAGAACUAAUGAAUAAAAUAAAGGAGCUUGAUCAAAAGAUUAGGAUGGAAAUACUUAUAAAUGACCGGCCAGUAAAAAAUGUGGAAGCGCUAGCAAUUCUAGCAACAUUCGUUUGGUGUCCAUUGUCCCUGAUUGUGUACUUCUUGUAUAAUUAUUUUACAAAACGAUAUACGAUUACCAGAAUUGAGUUUAUAUAUUACUUCAUGUCAAUCCAGUCGUUGAUUAACAGCUUCGUCUUCGACAUUAUCGUCUAUGUGCUGUAUUACAGAUUCCAAAUGGUAAAUAAAUUAAUCGCACAAUUAAAUCAGCUAUAUGAUGCGCCAUGGAUCGCGCAGAGGAUCAGACGCAUCCGAAAAAUCCAUAAUGGUAAGUUUUUAAAACUAUUAUCUCUUGUGUUGUCGUAAUUUAAGAUGCAGUUCAAGAUACAGUUUACUACAAUUUAUGUAAAAAAUUGUAAUGAUACCAAGAUGUAAAUUGUAAUAGAAUCGUAAAUUUUGGGUUUUGCAGGUAUUUGUGACCUCGUCAUCAUGGUACGCGAUAUUCACGGACUUUAUCUCCUCUUCUUCUCGCUGAAUUGUUUCACCACGGUUGUAUUUAUACUACUUACAAUCUACGCAGACAGUACGGAGGCGGGCAACUUAUCUAUAUUGCCAAUUGGCCUUAUUAUUCUGUACAUUACGCAAUUUGGUUUGAUGUGUUGGAUUUGCACCCUUGCGCGUCAAGAAUUCGACAAGACCGUGAUAAUUAUAUACGAAAUUGUACUGAAUUGCAAAUCUGCGAAUCCUGAUGAACUAAACGGGACAAAAAAUCAAUCGAAUCUAGAUGUAGGAACGCCACCGGAUAGCGAGCAAAAUUCUUGGAGUAGCAGUCACAACCUGAACAUUGUCGUCAUGGAACAUCUCUUACGCAAAAGCUUAGUUCGUGACUGUGUCAGAAACGAGAUCAAUGACUUUUUGAUUCAACUGCUACAUCGUCGAGUAGUAUUUACAGUUUGCGACUUCUUCGAAAUGAGUAAUGCUCUAUUCUGUGGUUUUAUUGGAGUGAUCAUUGCUUAUUCAGUGGUCGUCAUUCAAUUUUAUAAACGACCCGAUGAUCUAAACGAAAACUUAGUCGAACGUUUAUGGAAGUUAGCUAUGAAGAAACAUUCUAAUGUGUCAGAAUUGCAACAGUAAUAUGUCGUUCUUUAUUUUUACGUGAAACAUCAAGGUAAAUUUAUAAUGCGCGUUUGUCAAUAUUUUGGUUUCAGAAAAACUUUAAUUACUUUUUCCGCAAAUAUUAUGCAAAAUAUCGGAUACAAAAUAUUAUAUAUAAGAAACUUUAAUGUAAUAGCGACCAUAUUUGUUUGCAAAAUGAGUCGUUUAAAAAGAAAAUAAAAGGUGAAAUGGAGAAGAAUGUACCAAGAAGGCAAUUUGCAGCGAAAGAGCAAACUUUAUGUCUAAUAGUAUUAAAUAUUAUACACGUAUGAGAAUUAUUCUAAAAGUUAUAAGAAUAAUUAUAUAUAUUUUUCGUCUGGACGUGCGUACCGUUAGCGUAGUGUAUGACACGAUACAUUUUUCUUUGAUAUCACUUAUGUUUUUGACAGAGAUAUAUUCGUGUAUCGAGUGUACGUAUUUAUGUAUUGUAUAAUUCGAUGUGUUACAUAUUAACAUAUUACUACAUUUCACGUUCAAUCAUGAGAUCAGGCACUGAUAAGUGAUCGAAGCUGAUAGGCAGAAUAAAGAAGCUCGAUCACAAGAUCAAGAGAGAAAUAAUUAUGAUCGGCUAAUAAAAACACAUGAAAGUGCUAAAGAUUCCGGCAACAAUCGACUUGAUGUCCUUAUUUCUCCGCCGCGUGCACGCUCUGUAUUAUUAUUUUUUAAAUACGGAAUACAUUUUACAUUCAACUUGCUUAAUAUGUUAACGUAGUCAUUAAUUAAUAGCUUUGUCUUCGAAAUUGUCGUCUAUGUGUGAUAUCAUAUUACAAAUAAACUAAUCAGUCAGUUGAAUUAAGCUAUUCUGUGGUUUGCAAGCAAGAUUAGACGCAUCAGAGAAUUGCAUAAUGAUAUAUUUCUUGUAGUCCUUUUAUUGUAAUUAUUGUAAUUUAAGUGUAUAUGUAUGGCUUAAAAUGUGGUUUAGUACUAUGAAAAGAUUCUAAUAAUAUCAAGACAUAGUCGAAUUGUAAACUAUAAUAUAUGCAGAUAUUUGUGAUCUCGUAAUGAUAAACGAUAUUAAUGCGGUCUUCAUUUGUUUAUUAAAGUAUAGUGUAAUGGAUAAAUAAAUAAUUUAUUAAUUAAAUUAUAUUAAAACUCUAAAUGUAUACAAUUAUUUCCUUAGCCUAAACUUAAUCUAUGGUAGUUUAAAGAUUCGGUCGCUGUUUCCUGUUUCUCUCUCUCCUUUAAAUCUUGCUUGCAUAUCUCACAUCUUUAUCUUUUCAGUCUUCUAUUUUUUUCCUUUUCCUCUAUUCCGCUUACCUUAUGGACAUUUGUUUCCAUUAAAUUUUGUUUUAUUUAUUUUAUCCUUUUUGUAUAUUCCAUUCAAUUAUUUUUUAUUUGU